CUUGCUCGCUGCUGCUGCCACGUAAGAAGUGUGUUGCUUCCCCUUCGUCUUCCACCAUGAAUAACAGAAUGGCAAUUUUCGUGUGGUGUUAAUUUCCGUGGAAGAAGAAAAGGCUCGACUCUCUGUCCUAUUUUUCAUGAAUACUGGAAGUAGGGAAUAAACCUGGAGUCUCACGGGUGAAAAGAGACAUUUCCAUAUCACCAGACCACAAACGUGGGUGUUGAUUCUAAGGAUACCCCCAAUAAACAUCUUUCGUGCUAAAGCCCAUUCCAGAAUUUACUUCCCAGCUAUCUUUGAUGUUCAUAUUGUCAGAGGUGGUGGCCGCUGAAACAGGCAAAGACAUGGAGCAUAUCUUGGGUCCAGGUAAAGGAGGUGGGUGCACACAAGUGAAAAGAUGUUGCUGAAGUCACGUGGCUUCAAGCAGUAGAGCUGACUGUCCUCUAGUCCAGUUGUCCCUACAGGAUAAAAGCUUCUCUCCAUUACAGAGACCUUGGGAGUCCAGAGGAAGGUCUUUUUACCAUCAGCAUUCUCUACUGUGUUCAAUGACUGUCAGCCAAAGAUGGCCAGCUUUCCUUCAGAAAGAAAUGCAUUCAAAGAACCUACAUUCACAACAUAAAGAAAUAAAGCCUGCACCUACAGAUCUACACACAUGCCCAUGCACAUGCAGGAAGUGUUCAUCUAAGACUGGACCUUUUAGAAGAAAGCUGGCAUACAUUCGUGAAGGCAUGGGCUUCCAGGCAUGUCAUCUUCACUCACGAAGCACACACAAGACCGCCAAGCAUUAAGAUUCUCCUGUGGAGCCAGGCUACAAUCCUUUAAAUGAAGACAGACAGCUAGGUGGCUGCAGCCCAGCGCUACACCUCACCCCUCCCUCAGUGUCAUGCAGAAAAAAUGUAUUCAGAACUCAGAAGUGAAGUUGUGCAAAUCCAUCAUUGACACUAGCUUCAAGGUUACCUCGGGGGAGCAGAAUGUACCCCUGCCAGAGAGCUGGAUAGAUGAUGAUGGGGACAGAAAUUCUGGGGGAGUUGUAAAUGGCAGCCACUGCCUCUAUAGGAAACCCAAAGGGAACACAGCAGAAGAGGAGGUGGUGGAGGAGCCACUGCCCUCUCGAAGGGUUCAAUGUCAUUCUGCAGACACAACCAAAUAACUUUUUCUUCCCUGCUGCUCCUCCAUUUGAAAUGACAGCCCCGAGCUCGCUUUUUCCUUGAUUGUGUAACUCUGAUUACAGACAAGGCCAAGGCAAUCCCAGGGCAUUACUACAAAGCUAAGGGGUCCCCAAAGAACUAAAGAGUCAGCUCCACAAAAAUCCCGAUUCCUAGCAUGAAACUGAAAUAUGAAACCAAACGGGCAUAGAAAAGGUAUGUGCAUUCGAAUCACAUAGCAGUGACUGGAGUCCUGAGCUGUGUCUGAAGACUGUGAGAUCACGUUUGGAGCUGCUGAUUGGUUUUCAGUGAUGGCCCUGUUGCACAGUGCCGUGAGACUUAGCUCCAUGGCCAAAGACGAUGGUAUCCCCUAGGAGCCCUGUGAGGUUGCUGCUGUUCUCUUAAGACACCAGGUAGCCAUCUGAUCCUCCCUGAGCAAACUAACUGGGCAGACAGGUUUAUUAAACCUCUGUUGGUCCGACUUACAUGAAACAAGAGAGUUAUUUUGUUGUUGUUGUUUUGUUUUGUUUUAAAUUAAACCUGUCUUUGGAGCCUCCUGCUCUUAGUUUACAAGUCUUCUUUGCACACUCUAAUAUUUUAAGAAGCAGCAAACAUUAACUGAGGGUCUA
This 1771-nucleotide long non-coding RNA is filed under the name Homo sapiens (human). Its description in RNAcentral is "HSALNT0232327". Lineage: Eukaryota; Metazoa; Chordata; Mammalia; Primates; Hominidae. The record is from RNAcentral.